GCUGUAUGAGGCGGUUUGAUAUAAUCUGGGGUACCAGGGAGGGCCUCCCUGAUCAGAAAAUUGCGCAGGUGUUCACUGGACACAGAGGGCUGCUUUUCCCGAGAGUGGGAACGACAGCGCCCUGAGGUGGGAAGAAGCCAUGAGGUUGUGGAGACCCGGAGAAGAAGGUCAGGGAGCUGCGAGCCAGGGAGAAGGGGCAUCUGCAUGUGACUUCCAUCCUCGUGGUUUGCAAGAUGGUUGCUGUAACUCCAAGAGUUGUGAACACGCUCCGGACAGAAGAAGGAGGGAGGAGGAAAGAAGGAGAAGAGCCAGUAUUGGGAAAAUGGAAGCUUUCCUCAGAAAUCCCCCAUGGACUUCCGCUUCUGUCUCAUUGGCCAGAACGGGGUCAUGUGACGACUGGCUGUGAAGAGGUCUGGGAAGGUUCAUGUUUUCAGCUGAGUAUAUUGUAGGGCUGAACAAAAUUGGGGUUUUGUGGUGAGAAGGAAGUAGAGAUUAGAAUGGGGGAAUAACUAGCCGUUCUGGCAUGUGUCACGGUCUACUUCUUUAUUUCUUCUAACUUUAGAACCAGACAAAUAGGUGAAUAAAC
RNAcentral lists this long non-coding RNA (586 nucleotides) under Equus caballus (horse). RNAcentral describes it as "lncRNA (ENSECAG00000059473.1)". Lineage: Eukaryota; Metazoa; Chordata; Mammalia; Perissodactyla; Equidae. The record is from RNAcentral.